CAAUGCGAGUGAAAAACUCGCACGCUGAAAGACCAAGGGUUCCAGUCCAACGUUAAUCGGGGCUGGGUGAGUCGACCCCUAAGGCGAGGCCGAGAGGCGUAGUCGAUGGGAAAUUGGUUAAUAUUCCAAUACUUCUGUGUAAUGCGAUGAGAGGACGGAGAAGGUUAAGUCAGCCUGGCGUUGGUUGUCCAGGUGGAAGGUUGUAGGCAUGUAUCUUAGGCAAAUCCGGGGUACUCUAUGCUGAGAACUGAUAGCAAGCUGUACUUGUACAGUGAAGUGGCUGAUACCAUGCUUCCAGGAAAAGUCUCUAAGCUUCAGUUACACAGGAAUCGUACC
RNAcentral lists this ribosomal RNA (336 nucleotides) under Salmonella enterica subsp. enterica serovar Enteritidis. Its description in RNAcentral is "partial 23S ribosomal RNA". It matches the Rfam family "Bacterial large subunit ribosomal RNA", at positions 1314 to 1648 of the family's 2925-position model. The record is from RNAcentral. Lineage: Bacteria; Pseudomonadati; Pseudomonadota; Gammaproteobacteria; Enterobacterales; Enterobacteriaceae.